Long non-coding RNA from Xenopus laevis (African clawed frog), 1498 nucleotides. RefSeq lists it as uncharacterized. The transcript is spliced from 3 exons. The record is from RefSeq and is marked predicted. Lineage: Eukaryota; Metazoa; Chordata; Amphibia; Anura; Pipidae.
UCACAUAUGAGUGACGAGUGAUAUCCCUGCAGUGAGCACCAACCAUUUGGUUUUUUGGUGUGAUACCAACAUUAAUGUGGAUAUGGCCUUAAAAGUUCUUGUGGUAACAUUGCUGUGGAUUAAAGUGGAUGUGGGUUAAUUGUGGAAGUGGUCAACACUGGCUUUGAUUAUUGGCCCUCCACCAUGUAGACCAAAAAAAUUCUGGCCCCCAGUACUACAAAAGUUGGACAGCACUACACUACUGACUUGCACCAAGUAAAUUGAUGGACACAAGGGUUACCCUGGAAUUUGGGGAAAAAAGCUGCAUUGUGGGUAAAAAAAACAUGGCAAUUUGCAUCAUUUUUAGAUGAGGGCAGUGUUUAAGGGGCACGCAGGUCACUGGUAGUCUUUACUACAAUGUUUAGCUCUUGGUCCUCAAGCUGUUGCUGUUUGGCUGUCAUGUUGCAAGUUACAGUAUAGUGCAAAAAUAGCCUGAUUAAGCAUUUUUCCACAUGCCUAUUUUAAGUUAUUUUUACUCACUUUAGAGGAUCUACUCUUUCUCUAUUGCCCUGAACUUUUCUCCAGCUUGACCCUAUUAGGGAGACUAUGGUUUUGGUUUGUAUUAAAAAACACAUUAUAUGAGGCUUGCUUAAAAACAAGAACGUUGGUUUACUCUUCCUUCCAACAUUUGCUCACAAAAAUAGAUAAUAUAUCAUUAUAAUCUUCAGUGUAUUGUGGGCGAAAACAGUGCCUUUAUGCCCCAGGGCUUAGAUGCAUGAUUUUAUCAUCACACCAACCCCAGCUGUCCCAUUCCUUUGGGACAGUUAAGAUAUAAGAGGCUGAAAAUGCAGAAGGGGUUGUCCUGGGCUGGGUUUGUGUGGCUUAUGGCCAUUGGCCAAGGGUGGCUACAUUGGAGGCGUGACCAGAAAGUCUUUGUUCUUAUAUGAUGUGGAGCAGUAUAUGUUAGAUGCAAGCAACUAACCCUGUAUCAUGGUAGUUAUAGCUCAUGCUCAGCUAUUAUGGAUCUCUCAUUUUAUUUUCUAUUUACAUAACACUUCCACAGUUUCUAAGUGCAGGUUGUAAAACUGUAAUUUCAGGCUUUUGUUGGAUUUUAACUGGCUACAGCUGUUUUGAAAAACUCCGGUUGCAUACAAACGUUCAAGGGUAGGUCUGGCUCAUCUACUAACAGUGGAAUGGACCAAGUAUGUUUCUUUAAAAUAGUCCUUGUCAUUCAAUCUCCUGUAGACAGAGGUGGCAGAUGAACUAAAUAGAGGUCACUCCCACAGGCUUCGUUAGACAUAUAGCAGAGAAGAAAAUCAUUCCACCUUUCACAUCUACUUAGCAGGCUCAGGAAUUAAGCAGGAACAACCACUCAAAAAGCUACGGGAAGAAUGGACACAGAGGCUGGAAUCCAGGAUCAGACUGCUACAGUCUUUCCAUGAGGACCAAAAGAAGCAGCUUUGUGGAGGAUCAAAGGAAGCCCAACAGCACAAUGCAAACACUGCAGCCUAAAAUCCAC